This 406-nucleotide ribosomal RNA is filed under the name uncultured bacterium. Its description in RNAcentral is "partial 16S ribosomal RNA". It matches the Rfam family "Bacterial small subunit ribosomal RNA", at positions 30 to 526 of the family's 1533-position model. The record is from RNAcentral.
AUUGAACGCUGGCGGCAGGCCUAACACAUGCAAGUCGAACGAGUGGCGUACGGGUGAGUAAUGUCUGUGAAACUGCCUGAUGGAUGGCGAUCACUACUGGACGCUGUUGCUAAUACCGCCUACCAUCAGCUGUGCCCAAAUGGGAUUAGCUUGUUGGUGGGGUAACGGCCCACCAAGGCGACGAUCCCUAGCUGGUCUGAGAGGAUGACCAGCCACAAUGGAACUGAGACACGGGCCAGACUCCUACGGGAGGCAGCAGUGGGGAAUAUUGGACAAUGGGCGAAAGCCUGAUGCAGCCAUGCCGCGGGUAUGAAGAAGGUCUUCGGGUUGUAAAGUACUUUCAGUGGGGAGGCGUUACCCGCAGAAGAAGCACCGGCUAACUCCGUGCCAGCAGCCGCGGUAAUAC